Hypanus sabinus (Atlantic stingray) is the source of this 520-nucleotide long non-coding RNA. RefSeq lists it as uncharacterized. The record is from RefSeq and is a predicted model, not a curated record. The transcript has 2 exons. Lineage: Eukaryota; Metazoa; Chordata; Chondrichthyes; Myliobatiformes; Dasyatidae.
GUAACACCAGACGUGUGAGGAUAUUUUGAGUAUCGACACUCACAGGUACACUUCAAUAUAUUGAGAAAGGGAUGGAGCAGUGGACCCAGAGUGAAGUGAUAAGCAGAACCACGAAACAAAGAAAACGUUAGUCGUUCAGAGAAAAAAAAAAUGAAACUCCCUCCCCACCCCCCGCAUCAAAAGGACGGCAUCCCGAUCAUCAACCCCCAAAACCCACCCCUCCCGCCCGCACAAAAGGGAAGAAAAAUAUCGACACCCGUUAAAAACGUUCCUUCCCGACACAACUGCAGAGGAGCCGGUGUCAACAGUGUAGAGGCGGCCGCAUCGGGAGCAGCGGACACAACGGGCGACCCCGGAAGAUUCAAAGGUGAAGUGUCGCCUCACCUGGAAGGAUGUUUGGACAACGGAAAGAGUUCGGCCGUCCGGCCCUGUCACUGUGACACCCCGAACUCCACAUCAAAUCCGUCCAAACGAAUCUGGGCGAACUUUAAUGACCAAUAAAUAUAAUUCCUCUCAGCGA